GUGGGUGGUGUGCUGCGAAAACGAACUCCGUCACCUAACAAAAUCGUAGACAGAUUUACGGGAACUGGGAUCGGAAUUACAAACCCGGACGGAACUUAAGGUCCACUACCUACUGUGAAGAGCAAGGUGGAUGUGCUCUUCCCUCUUGACCCACCCUCCAUGUAGAAUAACACAAGAAUAUGCCAUUAUGGUUCUACCCAAAACCUGCC
RNAcentral lists this long non-coding RNA (209 nucleotides) under Drosophila guanche. Lineage: Eukaryota; Metazoa; Arthropoda; Insecta; Diptera; Drosophilidae. The record is from RNAcentral.